Phyllostomus discolor (pale spear-nosed bat) is the source of this 1082-nucleotide long non-coding RNA. RefSeq lists it as uncharacterized. The record is from RefSeq and is a predicted model, not a curated record. Lineage: Eukaryota; Metazoa; Chordata; Mammalia; Chiroptera; Phyllostomidae. The transcript has 2 exons.
GCGGCGCGCCCCGCGCGCGCCUCGGCGACUCCCCUCCCGCGGGCAGAGGAAGCGCCCCCGCCUCGCCUCCUUCUGCUCCGGGCCCUCCCACAUUCCUGGGACUGGGGACCCGGGACGCGGCUCCGCUGCUCCGCGCCGCGAGCCCGCACGGCGUCCCAGCCUCGGUCCCCCUCCCGGGCCCCGGGUUUGGGUCACCACAUGCUGACCGAUAUCCCUACCGAGGGCGCAAGCCAGGCCUACGUUUAGGGAGCAACCCGGUGAAGGCCUGGUUGAGGUGGGCUUGGGGUUCUUGAACCCCUGAACUGUAGGACACAGUGCUGUGUGCUGUGUUCUCCGCGCCCCGCCCGGGAGCCGGAGAGCCGGCAUUGGAGCGGGGCCUGUGAUUGCGACCCCGGCUCUUCUGGCAUAUGCACCUCCGGCUCUGCUGGUGCUGCUUAGCUGUGUGGCCUGGGGACGGGCACUUCACCCCUCUGGGCCUUCUUUCCUCAUCGGUGACAUAAACCUGGGAACACUAGCAUCCGGCUAGAGAGACGUGAUUGGUGAUUGCAGGAAGCAAUGAAGAGGAAAGUCCUAAAGACGAGCAGCUUUCAGCACGUUCUCGAAGGAGCCCACGACUCGACCCGGGUUAAAGACUGCUGCAGAGGCUGCUGCUGCGCCCGCGCCCAGGGAGAAAACUGAGGACCUGGGAGGCGAAGCCAGUUGCCCAAGAAAGGUUACAGAGAUGGUUUAAGCAAAAGGGGAGCUCUAUGAGGAGACCACUGGGGCGUCUGGCAGACCCCUAAGCAGGAACUCGCAGGGCCUCCCCCAGGCCUGGCUGCAAGAACUGGAAAGCCACCAAGAGCCCAGGCCAGCUGUCUCUGCACAUCGGCCUCCUGCUUCUCCCCGGCAGGCCGCCCUCCUCUGCAUCUCUGCAAGUUUCCCAGUCUCCUCGCCUGUUUCACGUUCUGACAGUGUGACUCCUAGUCCAUUUCAAAUCCCAGUCCCAGAGGAUUCUGAUCGGCCCAGCUUGGAUCCCGUGCCCACCCCUGGUCCAGUCCUCUUACUUAUUACUGACAUUUAACAGUCCUUAUUCAUUUGUGUCA